This 234-nucleotide ribosomal RNA is filed under the name Clostridioides difficile. RNAcentral's name for it is "partial 23S ribosomal RNA". It matches the Rfam family "Bacterial large subunit ribosomal RNA", at positions 2497 to 2730 of the family's 2925-position model. Lineage: Bacteria; Bacillati; Bacillota; Clostridia; Peptostreptococcales; Peptostreptococcaceae. The record is from RNAcentral.
AGUCCACAUCGACGGGGAGGUUUGGCACCUCGAUGUCGGCUCAUCACAUCCUGGGGCUGUAGUAGGUCCCAAGGGUUGGGCUGUUCGCCCAUUAAAGUGGUACGCGGGCUGGGUUCAGAACGUCGUGGGACAGUUCGGUCCCUAUCCGUCGCAGGCGUAGGAAAUUUGAGAAGACCUGUCCUUAGUACGAGAGGACCGGGAUGGACGUACCUCUGGUGUACCAGUUGUUCUGCC